RNAcentral lists this long non-coding RNA (639 nucleotides) under Homo sapiens (human). RNAcentral describes it as "HSALNT0068930". The record is from RNAcentral. Lineage: Eukaryota; Metazoa; Chordata; Mammalia; Primates; Hominidae.
CAGGGGCUCGUGGAAGAAGUGGAUAUUGAAGUACUUAUCACACAAAGGAGGAUAAAAGUACGAUAGCGAUAUCUACCACGAAGCUGUUGUUCCACACCAGAACCAAAUGAGCGCAAGAUCUGACAAAAAAAAAAGGUUCAUCUUUUAUUCUUCCAAACACUUUCAUUUAAAUCAAGAGGAUGGGAUGUGGUUAUUACUGUGUUUUUAGACAAAAUCAAUGGUUUCUGGCUCUGAGAUGUUGCAUACACCCUCUCAGUCCCUGUAUCCUGAGAUGGAGUCACCUGAGAAUCCACAGCAAGUCCUAACCAGGGAUGGGUCUGGGUGAUUAAGGAAGAUUGGCUUCAGAACUGGGCCAGGGGCACUGCUUUGCUUUUGCUGUUUUGAUCAGCUCUCUGCCUGCAGGAGACGAGGAAAACCAAUGGGAACAGGUUAGUUAUACUCAUAAAUCCUGGGCUUAUUUUAUUAACUCACAUAAUAGCUAUUAAUUGUCUUUCCUCCAAGGAGCAAAAGGGCAUAUACGGUCAAUGUCAUAGUAAGUAACACUGUAUUAUGUUACACUAAAAUAUUAAUCUAGGUUGGUUCAGUCUUUCUUGAGUCCACAGAUUGGAAGCAGAUUGAGGAAGGACGCUAGCAGACCAU